This 469-nucleotide small RNA is filed under the name Rattus norvegicus (Norway rat). RNAcentral's name for it is "uncharacterized LOC102549886". Lineage: Eukaryota; Metazoa; Chordata; Mammalia; Rodentia; Muridae. The record is from RNAcentral.
CCCUAGGACCAGUGAUGACAAAGGAUCUUGAAUCUCAAUAACGGUUUACCUGGUGAAGAAACUGAGGCCUAUCCCGUUAGGACACUAGUGCAGUUUACCGUGAGAACUUGGAAGAGCAAGCGGCUCCUGAGCCCGAGGUUUUAACAGUCAGGUGGCCCAGGAAAGUGCCGAGUGCAGCAGAGUUGAGGAGGUGUGAUUUAAAGUCAUGCAGGCAGGCCUCGGUGUGCUAGCCAGGAAGAGGAUACAUCUCUCAGUAGCCAGAUGAGGAAACUGCAGCAGACUGGCUUGACUUCCCGGUCAUCAUUAUCAAGUGAGAAACAAACCCAGAAGACUGGCUCACCUCUUGGACCAGGAUGGAUAACACGUCACAGAAGAGGGAGAUGGGAAAGAAUCUGUCAAUGCGGAAGUUGAGCCAAAGAAGGGGACAAGGCAUAUUACUCACAUUGUACCCAUUAUACACAUGGGAAAG